This 285-nucleotide ribosomal RNA is filed under the name uncultured prokaryote. RNAcentral's name for it is "partial 16S ribosomal RNA". It matches the Rfam family "Bacterial small subunit ribosomal RNA", at positions 524 to 819 of the family's 1533-position model. The record is from RNAcentral.
UACGUAGGGGGCUAGCGUUAUCCGGAAUUACUGGGCGUAAAGGGUGCGUAGGUGGUUUCUUAAGUCAGAGGUGAAAGGCUACGGCUCAACCGUAGUAAGCCUUUGAAACUGGGAAACUUGAGUGCAGGAGGGGAGAGUGGAAUUCCUAGUGUAGCGGUGAAAUGCGUAGAUAUUAGGAGGAACACCAGUUGCGAAGGCGGCUCUCUGGACUGUAACUGACACUGAGGCACGAAAGCGUGGGGAGCAAACAGGAUUAGAUACCCCGGUAGUCCCUGAGCGGGCUGG